Non-coding RNA from Arachis ipaensis, 1307 nucleotides. NCBI's taxonomy places the organism in Eukaryota, Viridiplantae, Streptophyta, Magnoliopsida, Fabales, Fabaceae. The record is from RefSeq and is a predicted model, not a curated record.
CGUCGCCGUCGUUGCCAAGCCCGAAGGAGAAAGAGAGUCCGCAAAGGGAGAGUGAGGGACGGAGAAGAGAAGCCGCCUAACCUCGCAACGCCACUGCGUCGUCGCCUCCGUUGAGCGGUCGCCAUCAUCGUGCGAGAAAGGAGAAGGAGCCGUCGAGGGGUCGCUGAGCCGCUGCCGUCGCCGUCGCGUUCAUUUCUGUCACAGAAGCUUCCAUUUCCGUCACUUUCAUGUUGCGGAGAGAAAGAACUACGCAUGAGCCAGGGGCCAGGGAAAGGGAGCCACCGCCGUUGCAUCCUGGCUACGCCGCCAUUCAAUUCGUUGUUUCAUCAUAUCCAUGGAGAGGAACGUGAAUGGAAAAGGAAACAGGGAAGCUGCUACUUGGGAUUUGAGGAAAACGGCUCUGUUCUGCCUCGCCUCUAGGUUCUGCAAGUUGCCGAAGUCCUCAGCCGCUGGGAACCAGCACUGAAGCUGCCCAGAAUCACUACUACUGCUGCCAUGGGAGCUGGUAUUGGAACCACUGAUGGAGCUGCUGUGUUUAGUGAUUUUCGCGAGUUGUGACAUCGAGGAUUGAAAUUGUAGAUAAAUGCUUUUGCCAUGACACAAUGGAACAGAUUGUUGAUUCUUUGAGUGGCAAGUGAAACAAAUGAUGCAUGGUGCAUUUCUACCCUAAAUAGACUUAAAGAAGCUUUGCCAUUGAGCUUGAAGGUUUCCCUGAGAUCAAUACGAGAGGGUAGAUUUUAAACUCUUAACCAGUGCUUGUUGCGUGAGUACCAUACGACUUUACAAGCAAAAUCUAAGCAGAUUUCUGGUGACUUUUGUGAGGUAAUGAACAUUGCCAGCAUUACAAAUCCAACAUCAUUCAAAGAUGAGGUUUCUAGGUGGUUUAUAAAUAGACAAUAGUGAAGAAAACACGAGGACCUACACAAUGCUUGAAGAUUCAUGCAAGACAGUUGGAAGAUAGAGAAGAAAUUACUCUAGAUAUUGAAGGAGGCAAUUGGUCCUACUGAUGAAGCUGUAAACAACUUGAGCAAAUUUUUGGGCACAGUGGCAAGGAAUUUAGAUUUUGUCCAUUAAUUUACACAAAUUGGAAGGGGAUUAAAGAUAAAGAAGCCAUUUGGGAAUCUGUUCAAGUGAGAAUAUUAUUAUUGUUAGCUAUUUCAACUCUUCUUUGUUAUAUUUUUUGCUACAUUAGAUGAUAUAGUUUGAGGUUGUCAUGAUUGUAUUGUGGUAUUUUGAAUGUGAUUGUGGAUCUUACAACAAUUUUUGUAAGUCAAAUUUGAUGAAAAAUAUUCAAUUAUUUUUCUUUA